AACUGAGCUAUUCCAGCUGAUGCGUACUACUGUGCUUUUCUCCUUUGAUAAUAAUUCGAAUAUGUUAACAUCUCACAUUCUCCCUAAUUUCUUUGCAAUUUCCAUUGUUUGUUUGUGGGUCUGAACUGACGAUCAAAGAAGUGAUCUACACGAGGACUUGCAAUGGAUCAGCUCGAUGAAGCCUAUAGGGGACGAAUUAACACUCUCCUGAGAGCAAUGUCUGUGGCGAAGGGUGUAAGAAAUGAUGAUGUUCCAUGCCAAAUUGAAGAGGGUCUUUACUUGGGUUCCAUCGGAGCUGCAAAUAAUAAGAGUGCAUUGAGAAGCUUAAAUAUCACACAUGUUUUAACUGUGGCCAGCUUAAAGCCUCCGUAUCCAAACGAGUUCAAAUACAAAAUUGUUGAUGUCCAGGACCAACCUGAUGUAAGCAUCUCUCGAUAUUUUGAUGAUUGCUUUGGUUUUAUUGACGAAGCUAGAGAAAUGGGUGGUAAAAUUUUGGUUCAUUGCUUUGCAGGAAUAUCUAGAAGUGUGACUAUCAUUGUUGCGUAUCUAAUAAAGACUCACAAACUUAGCUGUUCGGAAGCUUUGGAACAUGUGAAGAGUAAACGAUCUGUAGCAUCUCCGAAUCCUGGUUUCUUAUUGCAGUUGCAGAAGUUUGAAAAAUCUCUCAGAGGUAAAGAUAAUGUACUAUCCUAUUAAGACCUUCCCCAGUUUUAGGAGAAGUGGUAGCUUAAACCUUGAGAUUUAAGGCAAUGAAGUUCAACACAACGAGUCAUGUAUCCUUCUGAAAGAAAAAUUCAAGUAUAUUAAAGCACUUCUGGAGCGAUGUGGCAUGACUAAUGCAAGCACUUACAAAUGAUUCAGACACUUAGAGGAAAAUACUUUGGUUGUCAUCAAUACCUUACAAUCAUGGAUAUAUCUUCUGUGGUUAACGAGUUAUGCCACUUCAAUGCUUUUGUGCAUUGAGAUUCCUCAAGGGAACAACCAUCCCUGGGCGGGUCUUUUCAAAUAUUCGUGAUUCAGUCUUCAGUGCUAUACAUAUAGUGAUUGGGCGCAGGGGUGGGGGUUAGAUCGGAAGGAUCGUCGGUCCACCAGUGGGUAUGAUAUUUUCCUUGGCAAGUCAGUAGUCUCCUGGAUGUCGAAGAAGCAGACUACCGUUGCUCGUUCUUCAAGAGAGGGUGAAUACAAGGCCUAGCCGAUGCUUGGAUUUCUCUUUAAAGAACUAGGGCCGAGUAGAGAAAGUUCAUCUAGUUUUGAGCAAUAAAGACUUUGCCUGUUGAUAUUAAUCACGUGAAGCAGGACAAUGGACUUGAAGAUUCGCAAGCAACUAAUCGCCUCUUUCUUACAAC
This is an RNA transcript of Daucus carota subsp. sativus, 1346 nucleotides long. It is a transcript of the gene named dual specificity protein phosphatase 1, with no coding region annotated. The transcript has 8 exons. NCBI's taxonomy places the organism in Eukaryota, Viridiplantae, Streptophyta, Magnoliopsida, Apiales, Apiaceae. The record is from RefSeq and is a predicted model, not a curated record.